Molecule: ribosomal RNA, 497 nt
Filed under: uncultured bacterium
Lineage: Bacteria
Description: partial 16S ribosomal RNA
Rfam family: Bacterial small subunit ribosomal RNA
Source: RNAcentral
GAUGAACGCUGGCGGCGUGCUUAACACAUGCAAGUCGAGCGGACAGGCGAUGCUCUUGCUCCUUUCACGUUAGGGGCGGACGGGUGAGUAACACGUGGAACACCUACCUAUAAGUCUGGUAAAUUCUCGGGAAACGGGCUCAUACCCCGUAUGACAUCCUGAACCGCAGGGGGGAACAGUAAAAGACGGCCGUUCUGUCAGUAAUAGAUGCAUCCGCGCCGCAUUAGCUAGUUGUUAAGUUGACAGGUUACCAAGGCAAGGAUGCGUAAGCGACCUGAGAGGGGGGUCGGCGACACGGGAACUGAGACGCCGACCAGACUCCUGCGGGACGCAGCAGUAGGCAACCUUCCGCAGUGGGCGAGAGCAUGACGGAACGACGCCACGUGAGUGAAGAAAGUCUUCGGAUCGUGAAACUGUGUUAUGAGGGGAAAACAGAUGUGUAAGGAACUAUGCACGUCUUGACGGUACCUGAUCAGAAAGCCACGGCUAACUACGUG